AAUCAACGCUGGCGGCGUGCCUCAGACAUGCAAGUCGAACGCGAAAGCCCCCUUCGGGGGGCAAGUAGAGUGGCGCACGGGUGAGUAACACGUAGGUAAUCUACCUUUGGAUGGGGAAUAACCACCGGAAACGGUGGCUAAUACCGCAUAAUGCAGCGGCACCUAAUGGUGACAGUUGUUAAAGCGGGGGAUCGUAAGACCUCGCGUCUGAAGAGGAGCCUGCGGCAGAUUAGCUAGUUGGUAAGGUAACGGCUUACCAAGGCGAUGAUCUGUAGCCGGCCUGAGAGGGCGGUCGGCCACACUGACACUGACAUACGGGUCAGACUCCUACGGGAGGCAGCAGUCGGGAAUUUUGGGCAAUGGGCGAAAGCCUGACCCAGCAACGCCGCGUGAAGGAUGAAAUCCCUCGGGAUGUAAACUUCGCAAGAACGGGAAGAAUAAGUAAGAGCUAACAUCUCUUAUGAUGACGGUACUGUUUGUAAGCUCCGGCUAACUCCGUGC
This 501-nucleotide ribosomal RNA is filed under the name uncultured bacterium. RNAcentral describes it as "bacterial SSU rRNA". It matches the Rfam family "Bacterial small subunit ribosomal RNA", at positions 32 to 508 of the family's 1533-position model. The record is from RNAcentral.